CUCCGAAAGGGGUGCUAAUACCGGAUCGAAGUCUGUGCCGCAUGGUACGGAUUUGAAAGAUGGCCUCUAGUUUAUAAGCUAUCGCCGGGGGAUGGGCCUGCGUCCGAUUAGCUGGUUGGUGGGUAACGGCCUACCAAGGCGACGAUCGGUAGCCGGUCUGAGAGGAUGAACGGCCACAUUGGGACUGAGACACGGCCCAGACUCCUACGGGAGGCAGCAGUGGGGAAUCUUCCGCAAUGGGCGCAAGCCUGACGGAGCAACGCCGCGUGAGUGAGGAAGUUCUUCGGAACGUAAAGCUCUGUUGUUCCUGACGAACCUCCCCUCUAUCAACAACGGAGGGGACUGACGGUAGGGAACGAGGAAGCCACGGCUAACUACGUGCCAGCCGCGGC
Molecule: ribosomal RNA, 392 nt
Filed under: uncultured bacterium
Lineage: Bacteria
Description: bacterial SSU rRNA
Rfam family: Bacterial small subunit ribosomal RNA
Source: RNAcentral